Molecule: ribosomal RNA, 253 nt
Filed under: uncultured bacterium
Lineage: Bacteria
Description: partial 16S ribosomal RNA
Rfam family: Bacterial small subunit ribosomal RNA
Source: RNAcentral
UACGGAGGGGGCUAGCGUUGUUCGGAAUUACUGGGCGUAAAGCGCGCGUAGGCGGACCUGCAAGUCGGGGGUGAAAGCCCGAGGCUCAACCUCGGAACUGCCUUCGAUACUGCGGGUCUCGAGUCCGAGAGAGGUGAGUGGAAUUCCUAGUGUAGAGGUGAAAUUCGUAGAUAUUAGGAAGAACACCAGUGGCGAAGGCGGCUCACUGGCUCGGUACUGACGCUGAGGCGCGACAGCGUGGGGCGCAAACAGG